RNAcentral lists this transfer RNA (98 nucleotides) under Candidatus Aenigmatarchaeota archaeon. RNAcentral describes it as "tRNA-OTHER". Lineage: Archaea; Nanobdellati; Candidatus Aenigmatarchaeota. The record is from RNAcentral.
AGCCCCGUCGUCUAGCGGCCAAGGAUACGAAAGAGUGUAUACGCCUCUGGUCGUAUGAGAGAUAGCUCGGGACGGCAGUUCGAAUCUGCCCGGGGCUA